CUCUUGGAAGCAGGUGAGUCACCUGAUGUGAGCAGAGGUGCAGCAGCGCCGAGCUCCCCACAUCUGUACUGCAUCAGCCGCAGGGCAGCUGGGGAACACCAGGCACCCUCCACCCUCGGGGACAGCCAGGCUCCAAGGUGCUGUGGCGCCCCUGGCUCCCUCAGGGCCCUAGGCAGGCCACAUGUAGUCUACUGAUUAGGUACUUCAUGCCACCAGGCCACUGGCCACAUGCUCCUCACACCAACUCCUGGAGAGCAAUUCAACCACCAUCCACAUGCCACAGUUUGUCACCAGAAGAAAGAGUUCAGGAAGAGAAGAUGCCAACCCACCACCACACCAUGAGCUACUUGGCACCACAGCACAGAAAAG
RNAcentral lists this long non-coding RNA (369 nucleotides) under Fukomys damarensis (Damara mole-rat). Its description in RNAcentral is "lncRNA (ENSFDAG00000025989.1)". Lineage: Eukaryota; Metazoa; Chordata; Mammalia; Rodentia; Bathyergidae. The record is from RNAcentral.